AGAUAAAAGGUGCCUGUACCGCAAACCGACACAGGUAGGCGAGGAGAGAAUCCUAAGGUGUGCGAGAGAACUCUGGUUAAGGAACUCGGCAAAAUGACCCCGUAACUUCGGGAGAAGGGGUGCUUUCUUAACGGAAAGCCGCAGUGAAUAGGCCCAAGCGACUGUUUAGCAAAAACACAGCUCUCUGCGAAGCCGUAAGGCGAAGUAUAGGGGGUGACACCUGCCCGGUGCUGGAAGGUUAAGGAGAGGGGUUAGCGUAAGCGAAGCUCUGAACUGAAGCCCCAGUAAACGGCGGCCGUAACUAUAACGGUCCUAAGGUAGCGAAAUUCCUUGUCGGGUAAGUUCCGACCCGCACGAAAGGUGUAACGAUUUGGGCACUGUCUCAACCAGAGACUCGGUGAAAUUAUAGUACCUGUGAAGAUGCAGGUUACCCGCGACAGGACGGAAAGACCCCGUGGAGCUUUACUGUAGCCUGAUAUUGAAUUUUGGUACAGUUUGUACAGGAUAGGCGGGAGCCAUUGAAACCGGAGCGCUAGCUUCGGUGGAGGCGCUGGUGGGAUACCGCCCUGACUGUAUUGAAAUUCUAACCUACGGGUCUUAUCGACCCGGGAGACAGUGUCAGGUGGGCAGUUUGACUGGGGCGGUCGCCUCCUAAAGUGUAACGGAGGCGCCCAAAGGUUCCCUCAGAAUGGUUGGAAAUCAUUCGUAGAGUGCAAAGGCAUAAGGGAGCUUGACUGCGAGACCUACAAGUCGAGCAGGGACGAAAGUCGGGCUUAGUGAUCCGGUGGUUCCGCAUGGAAGGGCCAUCGCUCAACGGAUAAAAGCUACCCCGGGGAUAACAGGCUUAUCUCCCCCAAGAGUCCACAUCGACGGGGAGGUUUGGCACCUCGAUGUCGGCUCAUCGCAUCCUGGGGCUGUAGUCGGUCCCAAGGGUUGGGCUGUUCGCCCAUUAAAGCGGUACGCGAGCUGGGUUCAGAACGUCGUGAGACAGUUCGGUCCCUAUCCGUCGUGGGCGUAGGAAAUUUGAGAGGAGCUGUCCUUAGUACGAGAGGACCGGGAUGGACGCACCGCUGGUGUACCAGUUGUUCUGCCAAGGGCAUAGCUGGGUAGCUAUGUGCGGAAGGGAUAAGUGCUGAAAGCAUCUAAGCAUGAAGCCCCCCUCAAGAUGAGAUUUCCCAUAGCGUAAGCUAGUAAGAUCCCUGAAAGAUGAUCAGGUUGAUAGGUUCGAGGUGGAAGCAUGGUGACAUGUGGAGCUGACGAAUACUAAUAGAUCGAGGACUUAACCAUAUAA
This 1291-nucleotide ribosomal RNA is filed under the name Bacillus thuringiensis serovar rongseni. RNAcentral describes it as "bacterial LSU rRNA". It matches the Rfam family "Bacterial large subunit ribosomal RNA", at positions 1629 to 2925 of the family's 2925-position model. Lineage: Bacteria; Bacillati; Bacillota; Bacilli; Caryophanales; Bacillaceae. The record is from RNAcentral.